Acanthosepion pharaonis is the source of this 96-nucleotide non-coding RNA. Lineage: Eukaryota; Metazoa; Mollusca; Cephalopoda; Sepiida; Sepiidae. The record is from the annotation of a GenBank genome assembly.
GUGAAACAGCGGUUCCUAUACGAUCACUGAAGUUAAGCAACGUCGAGCAUGGUCAGUACCGAGAUGGGCGAUCGCUUGGGAAUACCAGGUGCUAUA